GAGCCGCACUCGGUGGCAGGUGAUCAAAGUGGUCCGACACAAUUGGAGCUUGCUAUGGCCACACGCAGUCUAACCUAUUCUCGUGCUCUCUCCUCUGUGAGACAAGCCAUCAUAUAGAUUUAGACAGA
Small nucleolar RNA from Pipistrellus kuhlii (Kuhl's pipistrelle), 128 nucleotides. RefSeq annotates it as small nucleolar RNA SNORA28. NCBI's taxonomy places the organism in Eukaryota, Metazoa, Chordata, Mammalia, Chiroptera, Vespertilionidae. The transcript has a single exon. The record is from RefSeq and is a predicted model, not a curated record.